RNAcentral lists this ribosomal RNA (284 nucleotides) under Ixodes ricinus (castor bean tick). RNAcentral's name for it is "partial small subunit ribosomal RNA". The record is from RNAcentral. Lineage: Eukaryota; Metazoa; Arthropoda; Arachnida; Ixodida; Ixodidae.
AAGAUAUAAUUUGAUUUUAAAAAAAUUUAAUUUUUAAACUAGGAUUAGAUACCCUAUUAUUUUAAGCUUAAUGUUGGUAGUAAGUAAAAAUUAUGAAAUCAUAAAAUUUUGGCGGUAUUUUAAGCUUGUUAGAGGAAUUUGCUCUAUAAUGGAUACAACGCCUAUAUCUUACUUAAUUUUGUAAUUAAAGUCAGUUUGUAUACCACUAUAUUUAAUUAUAUUGAAUAAUUAUAUUUAAGAUUUUUAUACAAAUAUAUAUUAAGUCAAGGUGCAACAAAUAAUUA